AGUUGAGUCGCACUGUCAACCGUGGUGACGAUAAUGCUCAAUAUCAUCAAGAGCCUCAGGGGCAAACGUAGAAACGAAAGUGCCGGAAUACUGAAAAAUAUUUUCUUCCCGUGAAAAAAUUGCACGAAUAACACGGCACGUAUUCGGCGUUGAUAGUUCGACGAGAGCGUGCCGACUGGACGACAAUAAAAUCUCAUGCCAGUAGACACCACCGCCGCCGCCGUUGCAGCCGAGAUUUUCUCGCCGGGAAAAACACGCACACACACACAGUCAACCGUGUUCACAAGAACAAGAGAGAGACCCACGAACCUACCGGUGAAUGCUGUCUCAUACGCCGAAGAAUCCACCGUGUGAUAAUACGUUCGAUCGUAGUCGCUGAUAGUGAAAUCCUCCCGCACCAGGAUCUUGUCUCAAGAUUCCGAACAUCUCCUGUACACACACUCUCCGUCGGAUUCUUUCUCUCCUCGGGUUCCUCCCUGUCGUCUCUCUAUCUUUAUCUUUCUGUAGAAACAAAUCUUUCGCGCUUUCUUUCUUCCCUUCUUUCCUUCUUUCUGUUGCAAGG
Molecule: long non-coding RNA, 562 nt
Organism: Bombus pascuorum
Lineage: Eukaryota; Metazoa; Arthropoda; Insecta; Hymenoptera; Apidae
Exons: 2
Source: RefSeq, a predicted model, not a curated record